AACAAGGCGUACCUGCGGACCUGCGGAAGGAUCAUUACUGGGUGGCUUCGGCCGUAUACCCCUAACCAUUGUGAACGAAACAGUUGCCUCGCUGGAGGGUGGUGAAAACCGCCCGCUGGCAGCACAAAACUCUUCUGAUGUUAUCUGAGUUACUUAUAAAUAAGUUAAAACUUUCAACAAUGGAUCU
RNAcentral lists this unclassified non-coding RNA (187 nucleotides) under soil metagenome. RNAcentral describes it as "partial contains 5.8S ribosomal RNA, internal transcribed spacer 2, and large subunit ribosomal RNA". The record is from RNAcentral.